Molecule: ribosomal RNA, 252 nt
Filed under: uncultured bacterium
Lineage: Bacteria
Description: partial 16S ribosomal RNA
Rfam family: Bacterial small subunit ribosomal RNA
Source: RNAcentral
UACGUAGGGGGCAAGCGUUGUCCGGAAUUAUUGGGCGUAAAGCGCGCGCAGGCGGUUCUUUAAGUCUGGUGUAUAAGUGCGGGGCUCAACCCCGUGAGGCACUGGAAACUGGCGGGCUGGAGUGCGGCAGAGGGGGGUGGAAUUCCACGUGUAGCAGUGAAAUGCGUAGAGAUGUGGAGGAACACCGAUGGCGAAGGCAGCGCCCUGGCCGUUUCCUGACGCUGAGGCACGAAAGCUGGGGGAGCAAACAGG